RNAcentral lists this ribosomal RNA (1346 nucleotides) under uncultured bacterium. Its description in RNAcentral is "partial 16S ribosomal RNA". It matches the Rfam family "Bacterial small subunit ribosomal RNA", at positions 28 to 1381 of the family's 1533-position model. The record is from RNAcentral.
GACGAACGCUGGCGGCGUGCUUAACACAUGCAAGUCGAACGGAAAGGCCCUGCUUUUGUGGGGUGCCCGAGUGGCGAACGGGUGAGUAACACGUGAGUAACCUGCCCUUGACUUUGGGAUAACUUCAGGAAACUGGGGCUAAUACCGGAUAGGAGCUCCUGCUGCAUGGUGGGGGUUGGAAAGUUUCGGCGGUUGGGGAUGGACUCGCGGCUUAUCAGCUUGUUGGUGGGGUAGUGGCUUACCAAGGCUUUGACGGGUAGCCGGCCUGAGAGGGUGACCGGCCACAUUGGGACUGAGAUACGGCCCAGACUCCUACGGGAGGCAGCAGUGGGGAAUAUUGCACAAUGGGCGGAAGCCUGAUGCAGCAACGCCGCGUGCGGGAUGACGGCCUUCGGGUUGUAAACCGCUUUCGCCUGUGACGAAGCGUGAGUGACGGUAAUGGGUAAAGAAGCACCGGCUAACUACGUGCCAGCAGCCGCGGUGAUACGUAGGGUGCGAGCGUUGUCCGGAUUUAUUGGGCGUAAAGGGCUCGUAGGUGGUUGAUCGCGUCGGAAGUGUAAUCUUGGGGCUUAACCCUGAGCGUGCUUUCGAUACGGGUUGACUUGAGGAAGGUAGGGGAGAAUGGAAUUCCUGGUGGAGCGGUGGAAUGCGCAGAUAUCAGGAGGAACACCAGUGGCGAAGGCGGUUCUCUGGGCCUUUCCUGACGCUGAGGAGCGAAAGCGUGGGGAGCGAACAGGCUUAGAUACCCUGGUAGUCCACGCUGUAAACGGUGGGUACUAGGUGUGGGGUCCAUUCCACGGGUUCCGUGCCGUAGCUAACGCUUUAAGUACCCCGCCUGGGGAGUACGGCCGCAAGGCUAAAACUCAAAGGAGUUGACGGGGCCCCGCACAAGCGGCGGAGCAUGCGGAUUAAUUCGAUGCAACGCGUAGAACCUUACCUGGGUUUGACAUGGAUCGGGAGUGCUCAGAGAUGGGUGUGCCUCUUUUGGGGUCGGUUCACAGGUGGUGCAUGGCUGUCGUCAGCUCGUGUCGUGAGAUGUUGGGUUAAGUCCCGCAACGAGCGCAACCCUUGUUCACUGUUGCCAGCACGUUAUGGUGGGGACUCAGUGGAGACCGCCGGGGUCAACUCGGAGGAAGGUGGGGAUGACGUCAAGUCAUCAUGCCCCUUAUGUCCAGGGCUUCACGCAUGCUACAAUGGCUGGUACAGAGAGUGGCGAGCCUGUGAGGGUGAGCGAAUCUCGGAAAGCCGGUCUCAGUUCGGAUUGGGGUCUGCAACUCGACCUCAUGAAGUCGGAGUCGCUAGUAAUCGCAGAUCAGCAACGCUGCGGUGAAUACGUUCCCGGGGCU